GAGGGCAGCUCAGUGGUAAAGCACUUGCCUAGCAAGCAUGAGGCUCUUGGUUCCAUCUCUAGUACCACA
This 69-nucleotide transfer RNA is filed under the name Marmota monax (woodchuck). RNAcentral's name for it is "tRNA.Ala". Lineage: Eukaryota; Metazoa; Chordata; Mammalia; Rodentia; Sciuridae. The record is from RNAcentral.